This 468-nucleotide ribosomal RNA is filed under the name uncultured bacterium. Its description in RNAcentral is "partial 16S ribosomal RNA". It matches the Rfam family "Bacterial small subunit ribosomal RNA", at positions 28 to 507 of the family's 1533-position model. The record is from RNAcentral.
GACGAACGCUGGCGGCGUGCUUAACACAUGCAAGUCGAACGGAAAGGCCCUGCUUUUGUGGGGUGCUCGAGUGGCGAACGGGUGAGUAACACGUGAGUAACCUGCCCUUGACUUUGGGAUAACUUCAGGAAACUGGGGCUAAUACCGGAUAGGAGCUCCUGCUGCAUGGUGGGGGUUGGAAAGUUUCGGCGGUUGGGGAUGGACUCGCGGCUUAUCAGCUUGUUGGUGGGGUAGUGGCUUACUAAGGCUUUGACGGGUAGCCGGCCUGAGAGGGUGACCGGCCACAUUGGGAAUGAGAUACGGCCCAGACUCCUACGGGAGGCAGCAGUGGGGAAUAUUGCACAAUGGGCGGAAGCCUGAUGCAGCAACGCCGCGUGCGGGAUGACGGCCUUCGGGUUGUAAACCGCUUUCGCCUGUGACGAAGCGUGAGUGACGGUAAUGGGUAAAGAAGCACCGGCUAACUACGUG